Mustela lutreola (European mink) is the source of this 1290-nucleotide long non-coding RNA. RefSeq lists it as uncharacterized. The transcript has 2 exons. The record is from RefSeq and is a predicted model, not a curated record. NCBI's taxonomy places the organism in Eukaryota, Metazoa, Chordata, Mammalia, Carnivora, Mustelidae.
GAAGAUAGACCUUAAAUCGACAGUCUGCAUACAAACAUUUUAAUUGUCUUGUGCAUUUUGUCUUUUGCAAUUUUAGCAUGUGGCUCGGAUGGGACCGCCCCUGCUACUUUGCGACCCCUGCGCGCCCUCCUGGCUGGUGAUCUAUGGGCCCAACACUGAGCCCAGCUCCUGACUUUAUGCUCCAGACUCCUGGCUACUGAUACCAUGUGUUCCUUGUCAGCUGCAUUAUUCUACUCUCGUCAGCCCUCUCACUUUGGAAAGUUAUCAGUAAUACACUGGCCACAGCCAUCUAGAACCUUUGUCACCUCCAGGUCCUUGCUUCACUGGAUGCUUCCUAACCAGCACCUGCAAUCACCUAUAGGCCAGACUGACUUGUCUUCAAAAGAAAGACCCUCCUCAAAGUCCAUGGAAAAGGGCUAUGCCAGAGAGUUCCGGUAUGGUCUCCUGAUGGCAUCAUUUAAACACUGCUGAGACCCUACCAGGGGACUCGGUCAGGAUUUCCAGAAUUCUAGUGGAGAAGCAUUUGGACUCAUGAGACUACUAACCCACCUUCGAGCAAAGUGAGAACUAGUUACAUAGGCCUAAAUGAACUACUGAGGAAGGACUAUGGUUUUUAUUUGGAAUAUUUUAAUGUUCUACUUUCUGAACAUAAGGAAGUCUUUGCUCUUCUUAUGCCAUCUGUAUCUUAAAACAAUUUGGUAGACAAAGCUUUUGCAAAAACAAAGGACCUAUUUAGAAACAGUAUCUGAGUCUCUCCCCCCACGCCCCACCCCCUGCCCAGAAUUUGGAAACUCAGUAUUAUGUAGUGUUCUUGCUUUCAGGGCAAUAUAAUUAUUUGCCUAGGUUCAACAAGAAUCUGUCUUCCUUAUUACCAGGACAUAACCAAAAAAACUGGUUAAGUAACCACGGCCUUGGCUGCAAGAUCAUAUUUGAUCAUAUAAUCAGCAACAACCAGACCCUUUCAAGAAAUGAAAGCAGACUUCAUGGCACCAAUGCCUGCCAAAGCCCUCUUGGGAAAACAAGCCAGGGACCUGGCUUCCAGGGUUCCCAACUCAUAAAUGAGCAAGAAAGAUCACUUUGUAGGGGUCCCAGAGCUGGAGGAUAUGCUGGGGACCACAGAAGGAAGGAAUUUAUGCAAAUAUGUACAUAAUGAAGGUGAAAUCUGACAGCAAGCUCUUGUUCCAGCUUCCUAGUCUCAAGAGACUUUUAAAUGCACAAUCUAAGAUUCCUUAUGAAAACUUCCUGCGAACUAUUCUUGCUACACCUAUGUAAAUAAAUAUAAUGAGACCA